Molecule: ribosomal RNA, 253 nt
Filed under: uncultured bacterium
Lineage: Bacteria
Description: partial 16S ribosomal RNA
Rfam family: Bacterial small subunit ribosomal RNA
Source: RNAcentral
UACGAAGGGGGCUAGCGUUGUUCGGAAUCACUGGGCGUAAAGCGCACGUAGGCGGCUUGUUAAGUCGGGGGUGAAAUCCUGAGGCUCAACCUCAGAACUGCCUUCGAUACUGGCAAUCUCGAGUCCGGAAGAGGUUGGUGGAACAGCUAGUGUAGAGGUGAAAUUCGUAGAUAUUAGCUAGAACACCAGUGGUGAAGGCGGCCAACUGGUCCGGUACUGACGCUGAGGUGCGAAAGCGUGGGGAGCAAACAGG